AACGAACGCUGGCGGCAUGCCUAACACAUGCAAGUCGAACGAGACCUUCGGGUCUAGUGGCGCACGGGUGCGUAACGCGUGGGAACCUGCCCUUAGGUUCGGAAUAACUCCCCGAAAGGGGUGCUAAUACCGGAUAAUGUCUUCGGACCAAAGAUUUAUCGCCUUUGGAUGGGCCCGCGUUGGAUUAGCUAGUUGGUAGGGUAAAAGCCUACCAAGGCGACGAUCCAUAGCUGGUCUGAGAGGAUGAUCAGCCACACUGGGACUGAGACACGGCCAGACUCCUACGGGAGGCAGCAGUGGGGAAUAUUGGACAAUGGGCGAAAGCCUGAUCCAGCAAUGCCGCGUGAGUGAUGAAGGCCUUAGGGUUGUAAAGCUCUUUUACCCGGGAUGAUAAUGACAGUACCGGGAGAAUAAGCUCCGGCUAACUCCGUGC
RNAcentral lists this ribosomal RNA (433 nucleotides) under uncultured bacterium. RNAcentral's name for it is "partial 16S ribosomal RNA". It matches the Rfam family "Bacterial small subunit ribosomal RNA", at positions 29 to 508 of the family's 1533-position model. The record is from RNAcentral.